Molecule: ribosomal RNA, 1646 nt
Filed under: metagenome
Description: bacterial LSU rRNA
Rfam family: Bacterial large subunit ribosomal RNA
Source: RNAcentral
CUGCCCUGGGUAAGUCGGGACCUAAGGCGAGGCCGACAGGCGUAGUCGAUGGACAUCCGGUUGAUAUUCCGGAACCGGCGAAGAACCGCCCAUGACGAACCGAGUGAUGCUAAGCGCCUGAAACCACCACAUAACCAUUCCCUUUCGAGGGGGUGGGGUGGUGGUGGAGCGCGCGACCCGACCUUGUAGUAGUCAAGCGAUGGAGUGACGCAGGAAGGUAGCCUCCGCGUGGCGAUGGUAGUCCACGUCCAAGGGUGUAGGGCGAGCUGUAGGCAAAUCCGCAGCUCACAUAGCCUGAGACCUGAUAGUGACCGCGAAUGCGGGAAGCAGGGUGAUCCUAUGCUGCCAAGAAAAUCUUCUAGCGAGGUUCGAGCCGCCCGUACCCCAAACCGACUCAGGUGGUUAGGUAGAGAAUACCAAGGCGAUCGAGUGAAUCGUGGUUAAGGAAUUCGGCAAAAUGCCCCCGUAACUUCGGGAGAAGGGGGGCCCGGAACCUGAAGUGACUUGCUCACUAGGGUGAAGGGCCGCAGAGACCAGGGAGAAGCGACUGUUUACUAAAAACACAGGUCCGUGCGAAGUCGCAAGACGAUGUAUACGGACUGACGCCUGCCCGGUGCUGGAAGGUUAAGAGGACCGGUUAGACCGUAAGGUCGAAGCUGAGAAUUUAAGCCCCAGUAAACGGCGGUGGUAACUAUAACCAUCCUAAGGUAGCGAAAUUCCUUGUCGGGUAAGUUCCGACCUGCACGAAUGGCGUAACGACUUCUCCACUGUCUCAACCGCGAACUCGGCGAAAUUGCACUACGAGUAAAGAUGCUCGUUACGCGCAGCAGGACGGAAAGACCCCGGGACCUUUACUAUAGCUUGGUAUUGGUGUUCGGUACGGCUUGUGUAGGAUAGGUGGGAGACUGUGAAGCAUGCACGCCAGUGUGUGUGGAGUCAACGUUGAAAUACCACUCUGGUCGUUCUGGAUAUCUAACCUCGGUCCGUGAUCCGGAUCAGGGACAGUGCCUGGUGGGUAGUUUAACUGGGGCGGUUGCCUCCUAAAAGGUAACGGAGGCGCUCAAAGGUUCCCUCAGCCUGGUUGGCAAUCAGGUUUCGAGUGUAAGUGCACAAGGGAGCUUGACUGCGAGAGAGACAUCUCGAGCAGGGACGAAAGUCGGAACUAGUGACCCGGCGGUGGCUUGUGGAAGCGCCGUCGCUCAACGGAUAAAAGGUACCCCGGGGAUAACAGGCUGAUCUUGCCCAAGAGUCCAUAUCGACGGCAUGGUUUGGCACCUCGAUGUCGGCUCGUCGCAUCCUGGGGGUGGAGUUGCUCCCAAGGGUUGGGCUGUUCGCCCAUUAAAGCGGUACGCGAGCUGGGUUUAGAACGUCGUGAGACAGUUCGGUCCCUAUCCGCUGUGCGCGUAGGAAACUUGAGAAGGGCUGACCCUAGUACGAGAGGACCGGGUUGGACGAACCUCUGGUGUGUCAGUUGUCCUGCCAAGGGCACCGCUGAUUAGCUACGUUCGGAAGUGAUAACCGCUGAAAGCAUCUAAGCGGGAAGCACGCUUCAAGAUGAGGUUUCCAUGCACCGUUAGGUGUGAGAGGCUCCCGGCUAGACUACCGGGUUGAUAGGCCAGACGUGGAAGUGCAGCAAUGCAUGUAGC